This 610-nucleotide ribosomal RNA is filed under the name uncultured Legionella sp. RNAcentral's name for it is "bacterial SSU rRNA". It matches the Rfam family "Bacterial small subunit ribosomal RNA", at positions 224 to 826 of the family's 1533-position model. Lineage: Bacteria; Pseudomonadati; Pseudomonadota; Gammaproteobacteria; Legionellales; Legionellaceae. The record is from RNAcentral.
GAUUAGCCUGCGUCCGAUUAGCUAGUUGGUGGGGUAAGGGCCUACCAAGGCGACGAUCGGUAGCUGGUCUGAGAGGAUGACCAGCCACACUGGAACUGAGACACGGUCCAGACUCCUACGGGAGGCAGCAGUGGGGAAUAUUGGACAAUGGGGGGAACCCUGAUCCAGCAAUGCCGCGUGUGUGAAGAAGGCCUGAGGGUUGUAAAGCACUUUCAGUGGGGAGGAGGGUUGAUAGGUUAAGAGCUAAUUAACUGGACGUUACCCACAGAAGAAGCACCGGCUAACUCCGUGCCAGCAGCCGCGGUAAUACGGAGGGUGCGAGCGUUAAUCGGAAUUACUGGGCGUAAAGCGUGCGUAGGUGGUUGAUUAAGUUAUCUGUGAAAUCCCUGGGCUUAACCUGGGCAGGUCAGAUGAUACUGGUUGACUCGAGUAUGGGAGAGGGUAGUGGAAUUUCCGGUGUAGCGGUGAAAUGCGUAGAGAUCGGAAGGAACACCAGUGGCGAAGGCGGCUACCUGGCCUAAUACUGACACUGAGGCACGAAAGCGUGGGGAGCAAACAGGAUUAGAUACCCUGGUAGUCCACGCUGUAAACGAUGUCAACUAGCUGUUGG